RNAcentral lists this ribosomal RNA (429 nucleotides) under uncultured archaeon. Its description in RNAcentral is "bacterial SSU rRNA". It matches the Rfam family "Archaeal small subunit ribosomal RNA", at positions 474 to 903 of the family's 1478-position model. The record is from RNAcentral.
UACCAGCUCUCCGAGUGGUAGGGAUGAUUAUUGGGCUUAAAGCGUCCGUAGCCGGCUUAGCAAGUUUCCUGUUAAACCCAGCGACUCAAUCGUUGGAUCGCGGGAAAUACUACUAGGCUAGGAGGCGGGAGAGGUCAACGGUACUUCUGGGGUAGGGGUGAAAUCCUAUAAUCCCGGGAGGACCGCCAGUGGCGAAGGCUGUUGACUAGAACGCGCUCGACGGUGAGGGACGAAAGCUGGGGUAGCAAACCGGAUUAGAUACCCGGGUAGUCCCAGCUGUAAACGAUGCGAGCUAGGUGUUGGGAUGGCUACGGGCCAUUUCAGUGCCGCAGGGAAGCCAUUAAGCUCGCCGCCUGGGGAGUACGGCCGCAAGGCUGAAACUUAAAGGAAUUGGCGGGGGAGCACCACAAGGCGUGAAGCUUGCGGUUC